Molecule: long non-coding RNA, 2812 nt
Filed under: Mytilus galloprovincialis (Mediterranean mussel)
Lineage: Eukaryota; Metazoa; Mollusca; Bivalvia; Mytilida; Mytilidae
Source: RNAcentral
CUUGUUUGUAAAUCAACACGAGUUGUAAAAGUUUUGUGUAUUCGACGAUGGAGUUUAAAAUAUCAUGUUAAAAGUUUGGAAAAGUAUAUUUGCAGUGCUAUUUUUGAAUUUGGAGUAAUGUUCGGAUAUUUAAGUGAAUAUUCCAUAAGGGAUUUAUUAUGAUUUUGGAGUUAUGUUGGUUUUUGCACGGUUUUUGACGGCUGUGUUGAUUGCACAUCAAAUUAUCCUCAUUGAAGGUAAUGUCCUAAUGAUAAAAAUACCCAUGCAUCGAAAUACUUUAAUGAUGAAUACUUCAAACAAUUGUAUGCUUGUCUUUUUCUAUUUUAAAGAAUUCAUGGAGUUCUAAAUGAAUAAAUGUUGUAUUGCUACUAAUGGUUUAAUUUGUUAUACAUGAUAUACGAGAAAAAAUAACUGUUGAAAUUAAAUAUAUAUAUCAUGUUUUGAAACAUAGGCAAUACACAUUUCGUUGCGCGUGCCUUCUUUGUUUUCAUGCAAGAUGAUGUCAUAGGACAAAUGUAUUGAUGCACUUGUGAUUAUAUUAUAAACAAGUUUUGUUUGUUUAAAAUAUUACUGAAUGAGAUUUCAGUUUCUUGUUGAGAUUAUAAAAUAGCAUAUUAAAUUCAUUUAAUAGUUAAAAUAAACAGUUCAAACCUUUAAAGUAUAUUUUGAUUUCAGUUUUAGUAGAGGUUUAAAAUUACAUUAAGUUAACAGUAUUCUUUUUUCAAAAGGUUGGAGCUACAUAUAUUUGAACAGGUUGGGACCAAACACCCAAAUGGGUCGCAUUUGGGAUAUAAAUUUACAAAAAAACAUAUGAUAUAGAAUAAACACUGACUAAUUUCCUGACUUGUGAGAGGUACAUGAAUAUAUGACAGUGUUAAUGUAUUUUUUUUUAUAUCUCAAACCCCCAUAUCCCCAUUCUUUCUUUAACAAUUGAACAAUAGAAUAGAAUAGAAGGACAUAAAGGUGUACCGAUUAACACCAAAAAUUCAUGUACAUUGUAGGAAAAACAUUAAACUCUAGAAUAAUGUGGAAUAGAAAACAAAAAACGGCACAAAAACAAUAGACCAGAUAAUUAUACUGUAUCAAAGAUCAGUCAGUGGUACUUGACCUGCUGAUUUGAAAUUAUGAAUCGAGGGUAAACUUCAAUAUCAGUCAUUGUAUCAGUUGCUGUACUUCUUAGUAGAUUUUGUACAGCAAUGUCAUUAAAGUACAGGAUCUUGAAGACACAAUCUGUACAAUUCUAACAACAUUUAAUUGCAGAAAAAAAGAAAAAAAUAUGUUUUGCUUCAUAUUAUUAAUGACUACAUGUAUUUGAUGGUUUUCCCAAAAAUAUCAUGCAGUGAUUAUACCAGUACCCACCGAAGAAUUAAUACAAUGAAUGAAAAAUAAUCUGCUUGUUUCUGGUUUGAAUUUUGAAAAAACAACAAUCAUCAUUAAAAAAAUUACCUUAAAAUAAAAAAGACCUUGUAUAUGUUCCAGACCAUACAAGAUUUGACCGUACGCGUACGGUCCGGACCGUAUACGUAUACUCGUACGGUCCGACCAACGCGUACGGUCGGACCGUAGAGUAUACGCUACGUCCAGCUGACCAACAAUGUUGGGAUCAUAUGGGUUAAAUGUUUACUUAACAAACAUUUAUCAAAAUCUUUAUUUUUAGUUAUACAAAUUGUUAUUAUUACAAUUAGAUGGAUAAAGUGAAUAAGCGAACAAUUAAAAUUAAAUAUUUGUUUAAUUUUAUAUCCGUGAAUCCUAUUUUGUUACUCUGGCCCAAGAUGACACUUGCUUUGACAAGGAACGUCAUAUAUUUUUAACAUUAACAUGUUUUGUUCAUGCAUGUUCCUUUGCAUAUGCAUUUUUUGUAAAGUUCCUAAAUAUUCUAAAACAAUUGUCCUCCCACAUUAUGUUUACUUCCGAUAACUUCAAUUUCAAUGAACAUACUGGGCUGUAGUUAAUGAAUUACUGACAUGCUAAGUACAGGAGAUUAAUAGAUUAAAUAAGCCUGAUUUUUUACAAAUAGUUAACAUAUUAAGUUUUUAUUUCAAUAACUAUUCAACUUUUUAUAUUAAUUUGAGAUAUAAGUUAUGUUGAUCUGUUAUAUACAUUUAUCUAAUAAACUUGACCAAAUUCUUAAUAUUAGUCAGACCGUACGCGGCAGACCGUAUGCGUAUAUUGAAAAAGUACGCAUACGGUCCAGACCGUACGCGUACGGUCCAAAUACUCAUACGGUCUGGAACAUAUACAUACAUCUUUGUGGUACUUGUAUUAGAAUUUUGUUUCGCAACAUUUUGUAGUUUAAAAUAUACCAGCACACAUUUUUAAAAACCCACAUAUGUCAUUUAUGUUUUAAAGUUAUGAAAAAUUUCCCUCAAAAUGUUCAUUAAUUUUUGACAAAAAUAUAAUAUUUUGUUUUGUAAAGUUAAUUUCUUGCCAUGAAGUUACAGCACAUGUUUAUCAUCUUAAAUACUUUCUGUGUACUGAAGUGCUUAAAUAUAAUUGUAAUCUGGUGUUUAUUUUCAUAAAGUCAGAAUAUAUUCCAAGUUUAAAAGAAAUUAGAAAAUCUACUAUAUUUAUUAACAAUAAUUUGGAAUAGCAACAUUCAUGAAUAAAAAAAAUGCAUGAUAAUUUUUGUGUCAAUUUGGUCUCUGUGGAGAGUUGUCUGACAUUGGCAAUCAUACCACAUCUUCUUUUUUAUAUGAACUAUGAAUGUUUUAUUUUGCAGCAUUUCCUUCAUGCUAUCCUGAUCCUUGUUUGAAUGGAGCUACUUGUAAAACAGCAAGUAAUGGAGAAAGUUACUGUGUGUGAGUACAAAAUA